RNAcentral lists this ribosomal RNA (434 nucleotides) under uncultured bacterium. RNAcentral describes it as "partial 16S ribosomal RNA". It matches the Rfam family "Bacterial small subunit ribosomal RNA", at positions 29 to 507 of the family's 1533-position model. The record is from RNAcentral.
AGCGAACGCUGGCGGCAGGCCUAACACAUGCAAGUCGAACGAACCUUUCGGGGUUAGUGGCGGACGGGUGAGUAACACGUGGGAACGUGCCUUUAGGUUCGGAAUAACUCAGGGAAACUUGUGCUAAUACCGAAUGUGCCCUUCGGGGGAAAGAUUAAAUGCCUUUUGAGCGGCCCGCGGCCGGUUAGCUUGUUGGGUGAGGUAAUGGCUCACCAAGGCGACGAUCAGUAGCUGGGCUGAGAGGAUGAUCAGCCACAUUGGGACUGAGACACGGCCCAAACUCCUACGGGAGGCAGCAGUGGGGAAUCUUGCGCAAUGGGCGAAAGCCUGACGCAGCCAUGCCGCGUGAAUGAUGAAGGUCUUAGGAUUGUAAAAUUCUUUCACCGGGGACGAUAAUGACGGUACCCGGAGAAGAAGCCCCGGCUAACUUCGUG